UAGGGAAUCUUCCGCAAUGGACGCAAGUCUGACGGAGCAACGCCGCGUGAGUGAAGAAGGAUUUCGGUUCGUAAAACUCUGUUGUUAGAGAAGAACAGCGCAUAGAGUAACUGUUAUGCGUGUGACGGUAUCUAACCAGAAAGCCACGGCUAACUACGUGCCAGCAGCCGCGGUAAUACGUAGGUGGCAAGCGUUGUCCGGAUUUAUUGGGCGUAAAGCGAGCGCAGGCGGUUAGAAAAGUCUGAAGUAAAAGGCAGUGGCUCAACCAUUGUAGGCUUUGGAAACUGUUUAACUUGAGUGCAGAAGGGGAGAGUGGAAUUCCAUGUGUAGCGGUGAAAUGCGUAGAUAUAGGGAGGAACACCGGUGGCGAAAGCGGCUCUCUGGUCUGUAACUGACGCUGAGGCUCGAAAGCGUGGGUAGCAAACAGG
RNAcentral lists this ribosomal RNA (428 nucleotides) under Bacteroidota bacterium. Its description in RNAcentral is "Bacteroidetes bacterium partial 16S ribosomal RNA". It matches the Rfam family "Bacterial small subunit ribosomal RNA", at positions 355 to 776 of the family's 1533-position model. Lineage: Bacteria; Pseudomonadati; Bacteroidota. The record is from RNAcentral.